CCUACGGGUGGCAGCAGUGGGGAAUAUUGGACAAUGGGCGAAAGCCUGAUCCAGCCAUGCCGCGUGUGUGAAGAAGGCCUUCGGGUUGUAAAGCACUUUCAGUGGGGAAGAAAGCCUUGGGGCUAAUACCCUCGAGGAAGGACAUCACCCACAGAAGAAGCACCGGCCAACUCCGUGCCAGCAGCCGCGGGAAUACGGAGGGUGCGAGCGUUAAUCGGAAUUACUGGGCGUAAAGCUCGCGUAGGCGGUCUGAUAAGCCGGUUGUGAAAGCCCCGGGCUCAACCUGGGAACGGCAUCCGGAACUGUCAGGCUAGAGUGCAGGAGAGGAAGGUAGAAUUCCCGGUGUAGCGGUGAAAUGCGUAGAGAUCGGGAGGAAUACCAGUGGCGAAGGCGGCCUUCUGGACUGACACUGACGCUGAGGUGCGAAAGCGUGGGUAGCAAACAGGAUUAGAUACCCCAGUAGUC
This 465-nucleotide ribosomal RNA is filed under the name Vreelandella stevensii. RNAcentral describes it as "partial 16S ribosomal RNA". It matches the Rfam family "Bacterial small subunit ribosomal RNA", at positions 338 to 795 of the family's 1533-position model. The record is from RNAcentral. Lineage: Bacteria; Pseudomonadati; Pseudomonadota; Gammaproteobacteria; Oceanospirillales; Halomonadaceae.